CAGAAUGCUACAAACACAUUUACCCAUAAUGCCUGUGUGCAUUUAGGAUGGAAGAAGAGGGGGAGCAUCAGCUGCAAGAAAAUCAAGAGUCAGCCCAUACAGAUGGACCAUCAGCAACAACCACAACAAGAGUAGAAGAACCAGUCCUGUGAGAAACGCCUUUCCAUAAAAGUCACUCUUAUCUGCUGACCUAAAUCCAGCUUCCACUUUCACUGGCCUGCUCUGGUCUGUAAUCACACAAUUCACCCACUGGUUCCAGGUCAGCAUAAAAGGGUCUCUUCUAUCACAGGUUUCUUAAAACUCCACCACUAGGCGGCACUCCAUCCAGAGAAUGAUUGCUGUAUUCAGUAGCAGGAUGUAUGUAACCACGACCAGUGUAUGUUCGCUACCGCAGCUUCCCAGUUAAUGACCGACCCUGAUGUCCACUUUCUGGCCAGUGCCAUCUUAAAGAACAUGCUGUCACCUACCUAUACAAAUCAUAUUUCCACAGAAGUGCAAACCAAUACGUCCUGGAGAAUAUGGCUUGUCACAGAUUUUGUUCGAUGGUAAUUUUAUGUUGCCUUAAGUUCUGAAUGUCAAAGUUUCAAAAUUAAACAGUAGUAUAUGAAUGACAUUGACUCGUUUUAUGCAUUUCUCAUACCAAAGUAAUGUUGUUAAUGUUUUUGUUUUUUUUAAGGAAACGAAAAGAUCAUACAAGAUUUUAUCCAUCAAAUUUCUGUCUGUAUUUGUAAAUUUUAUAUUAUUAAAGAUGUGGACAUGGAGAUAGCUGGUUCAGGUUUGAUCCGACUAUGCAAUCAUCUCGUAGAUUGCUCACUAUCUGAGCCAAUUCUCUACUGUAACGCAACCCAAAUAUGUUGUGUGGCUG
Long non-coding RNA from Ictalurus punctatus (channel catfish), 865 nucleotides. Lineage: Eukaryota; Metazoa; Chordata; Actinopteri; Siluriformes; Ictaluridae. The record is from Ensembl.